UUGGAAGAAACCAAAAAGAGGUGUAUCACUGUUAAUGAUAAAAUUGAGUCCAACUCCUUCCAAG
RNAcentral lists this transfer RNA (64 nucleotides) under Helice tridens. RNAcentral describes it as "tRNA-Asn". RNAcentral also lists the same sequence under 2 other names. The record is from RNAcentral. Lineage: Eukaryota; Metazoa; Arthropoda; Malacostraca; Decapoda; Varunidae.